AAAAUUACACAUUUAGCAUUUAUUUAUCUCCCAAUAACCUCUGGCAGAUAUAAAUGAAUUUUAAGUUGUUUCUUUGGGAAAUCACAAACAGUAAGACAGCUUAUUCCUUCUCAUCUAACCAAGACUGGGAAGGGAAGAGGGGCUUUGAUCAGCUUUCCAAUGGAGGUAUAAAUUUGAGAAUUUAUUCCCAGGGAGAUGAUGCUAUAUGUUUAGCUCACAUCAGAAUCAGGUUUGAAAGAGUAGAAUAAGUUACACUGCCAGUUUUACUGAGUAAGGUAUUCAGAUGAAAAAAUAUGUAUAACUGAAGGAUUUAUAUUUUCUGAUGUCCACAUCAUAUAAUUUGGGGGCCAAAAUGAAACAGGAAGAUUUUAUUUACCUCUAAAAAUGGAUAUUGAGUAGAUGCGUAUGUAUCCCCUUUCCCGUUUUUAUCUUUUCUGUGUAGUCUCUAAUGAUGUAGAAUAAGGCUAUAUAAAUCCUCAGUAUCUUUAAUCAUGUCCAAGGGUCAGAUAAAAUUAUGUGCGUUUAAAG
RNAcentral lists this long non-coding RNA (528 nucleotides) under Homo sapiens (human). RNAcentral's name for it is "HSALNT0087563". Lineage: Eukaryota; Metazoa; Chordata; Mammalia; Primates; Hominidae. The record is from RNAcentral.